GGUUAAGCGACUAAGCGUACACGGUGGAUGCCCUGGCAGUCAGAGGCGAUGAAGGACGUGCUAAUCUGCGAAAAGCGUCGGUAAGGUGAUAUGAACCGUUAUAACCGGCGAUGUCCGAAUGGGGAAACCCAGUGCAAUUCGUUGCACUAUCGUUAACUGAAUACAUAGGUUAACGAGGCGAACCGGGGGAACUGAAACAUCUAAGUA
Molecule: ribosomal RNA, 207 nt
Filed under: Klebsiella oxytoca
Lineage: Bacteria; Pseudomonadati; Pseudomonadota; Gammaproteobacteria; Enterobacterales; Enterobacteriaceae
Also listed under: 2 other names
Description: partial 23S ribosomal RNA
Rfam family: Bacterial large subunit ribosomal RNA
Source: RNAcentral